Oncorhynchus gorbuscha (pink salmon) is the source of this 887-nucleotide long non-coding RNA. RefSeq lists it as uncharacterized. NCBI's taxonomy places the organism in Eukaryota, Metazoa, Chordata, Actinopteri, Salmoniformes, Salmonidae. The record is from RefSeq and is a predicted model, not a curated record. The transcript is spliced from 3 exons.
UGGAAGUCAAAGUAACAGAAGCAGUGAUUUUCCCUCUCCUUCUUACUCUCCAGGUAUUUUCUGCAGAGAGGAACGAUGAGACUCCCACUUCCUGGCCCGAUCAAGGGGCAAUUCCCACGGGAGACUACCUGGAGAAGGGGAGAGGAGAGGUGCACAGAUAUGACAGACAAGAGCAGCAUUCUGGGCAAUCUGAACAUGAUGUUAUUCACACACUGCUGAGCACAAACGAUGCAACUGAGAUAGACAUCAUCAACCGUGGCGAGUUUCCAUGUAACGUCAUUUCAGUCAUGGACGACCUCCUAACCCCUCAGGUUCAGACUCAACCAACCCCGACCGCAGUUACCACCAGCAGCCCACACCUGGACAAUAACAAAAACAAGAGAAAGGCAAAGGGAGCUCCUCAACAUCAGGGUCUAGUUGUCCCAUACCUACCCAUCAGGCCUGGUGCCCCCAACAUAAAAGGCUUCCCUCCUGCACCCCCAAUGUUCUUUGUCCCUCAGAGAGCUGAAGCACGCCAUCCCCACCCCAUGAGCUGGUUUCCCAGAGGUUAUGGAAGUAUGCCCAACUACCUCAUGCCCCGCUUUGUAUUCUCAGCCUAUGUCCGGGCUUUGCAUGGAAGUUCAUCGGAAGAGAAUUCUCAGAGUGACUGAAGUAUCGGGUUCCUAAGACCAUUUAUAAAUAGAAUGGGGGGUGUCCGUUCUAUAGAUUCUAUUUCUAUGGCUAAGAGUUUCUGUUGCUCAGUCUCCAUUACUGUCCCAGAAAAGAGAUCGGCAGAGGCUGAUAUGAUCGGUGUCAUUGUGCGCUGAAUCUGCUAUGUGGAAGUGUUGAUAAGCAUCAUGUUAUUUUUUAAUCACUCACAGCACCAUGCGUAUAUGCUUACAUGACAA